GGGUUGUGAGGUUAAGCGACUAAGCGUACACGGUGGAUGCCCUGGCAGUCAGAGGCGAUGAAGGACGUGCUAAUCUGCGAUAAGCGUCGGUAAGGUGAUAUGAACCGUUAUAACCGGCGAUUUCCGAAUGGGGAAACCCAGUGUGUUUCGACACACUAUCAUUAACUGAAUCCAUAGGUUAAUGAGGCGAACCGGGGGAACUGAAACAUCUAAGUACCCCGAGGAAAAGAAAUCAACCGAGAUUCCCCCAGUAGCGGCGAGCGAACGGGGAGCAGCCCAGAGCCUGAAUCAGUGUGUGUGUUAGUGGAAGCGUCUGGAAAGGCGCGCGAUACAGGGUGACAGCCCCGUACACAAAAAUGCACAUGCUGUGAGCUCGAUGAGUAGGGCGGGACACGUGGUAUCCUGUCUGAAUAUGGGGGGACCAUCCUCCAAGGCUAAAUACUCCUGACUGACCGAUAGUGAACCAGUACCGUGAGGGAAAGGCGAAAAGAACCCCGGCGAGGGGAGUGAAAAAGAACCUGAAACCGUGUACGUACAAGCAGUGGGAGCACGCUUAGGCGUGUGACUGCGUACCUUUUGUAUAAUGGGUCAGCGACUUAUAUUCUGUAGCAAGGUUAACCGAAUAGGGGAGCCGAAGGGAAACCGAGUCUUAACUGGGCGUUAAGUUGCAGGGUAUAGACCCGAAACCCGGUGAUCUAGCCAUGGGCAGGUUGAAGGUUGGGUAACACUAACUGGAGGACCGAACCGACUAAUGUUGAAAAAUUAGCGGAUGACUUGUGGCUGGGGGUGAAAGGCCAAUCAAACCGGGAGAUAGCUGGUUCUCCCCGAAAGCUAUUUAGGUAGCGCCUCGUGAAUUCAUCUCCGGGGGUAGAGCACUGUUUCGGCAAGGGGGUCAUCCCGACUUACCAACCCGAUGCAAACUGCGAAUACCGGAGAAUGUUAUCACGGGAGACACACGGCGGGUGCUAACGUCCGUCGUGAAGAGGGAAACAACCCAGACCGCCAGCUAAGGUCCCAAAGUCAUGGUUAAGUGGGAAACGAUGUGGGAAGGCCCAGACAGCCAGGAUGUUGGCUUAGAAGCAGCCAUCAUUUAAAGAAAGCGUAAUAGCUCACUGGUCGAGUCGGCCUGCGCGGAAGAUGUAACGGGGCUAAACCAUGCACCGAAGCUGCGGCAGCGACACUAUGUGUUGUUGGGUAGGGGAGCGUUCUGUAAGCCUGUGAAGGUGUGCUGUGAGGCAUGCUGGAGGUAUCAGAAGUGCGAAUGCUGACAUAAGUAACGAUAAAGCGGGUGAAAAGCCCGCUCGCCGGAAGACCAAGGGUUCCUGUCCAACGUUAAUCGGGGCAGGGUGAGUCGACCCCUAAGGCGAGGCCGAAAGGCGUAGUCGAUGGGAAACAGGUUAAUAUUCCUGUACUUGGUGUUACUGCGAAGGGGGACGGAGAAGGCUAUGUUGGCCGGGCGACGGUUGUCCCGGUUUAAGCGUGUAGGCUGGUUUUCCAGGCAAAUCCGGAAAAUCAAGGCUGAGGCGUGAUGACGAGGCACUACGGUGCUGAAGCAACAAAUGCCCUGCUUCCAGGAAAAGCCUCUAAGCAUCAGGUAACAUCAAAUCGUACCCCAAACCGACACAGGUGGUCAGGUAGAGAAUACCAAGGCGCUUGAGAGAACUCGGGUGAAGGAACUAGGCAAAAUGGUGCCGUAACUUCGGGAGAAGGCACGCUGAUAUGUAGGUGAAGCGACUUGCUCGUGGAGCUGAAAUCAGUCGAAGAUACCAGCUGGCUGCAACUGUUUAUUAAAAACACAGCACUGUGCAAACACGAAAGUGGACGUAUACGGUGUGACGCCUGCCCGGUGCCGGAAGGUUAAUUGAUGGGGUCAGCGCAAGCGAAGCUCUUGAUCGAAGCCCCGGUAAACGGCGGCCGUAACUAUAACGGUCCUAAGGUAGCGAAAUUCCUUGUCGGGUAAGUUCCGACCUGCACGAAUGGCGUAAUGAUGGCCAGGCUGUCUCCACCCGAGACUCAGUGAAAUUGAACUCGCUGUGAAGAUGCAGUGUACCCGCGGCAAGACGGAAAGACCCCGUGAACCUUUACUAUAGCUUGACACUGAACAUUGAGCCUUGAUGUGUAGGAUAGGUGGGAGGCUUUGAAGUGUGGACGCCAGUCUGCAUGGAGCCGACCUUGAAAUACCACCCUUUAAUGUUUGAUGUUCUAACGUUGACCCGUAAUCCGGGUUGCGGACAGUGUCUGGUGGGUAGUUUGACUGGGGCGGUCUCCUCCUAAAGAGUAACGGAGGAGCACGAAGGUUGGCUAAUCCUGGUCGGACAUCAGGAGGUUAGUGCAAUGGCAUAAGCCAGCUUGACUGCGAGCGUGACGGCGCGAGCAGGUGCGAAAGCAGGUCAUAGUGAUCCGGUGGUUCUGAAUGGAAGGGCCAUCGCUCAACGGAUAAAAGGUACUCCGGGGAUAACAGGCUGAUACCGCCCAAGAGUUCAUAUCGACGGCGGUGUUUGGCACCUCGAUGUCGGCUCAUCACAUCCUGGGGCUGAAGUAGGUCCCAAGGGUAUGGCUGUUCGCCAUUUAAAGUGGUACGCGAGCUGGGUUUAGAACGUCGUGAGACAGUUCGGUCCCUAUCUGCCGUGGGCGCUGGAGAACUGAGGGGGGCUGCUCCUAGUACGAGAGGACCGGAGUGGACGCAUCACUGGUGUUCGGGUUGUCAUGCCAAUGGCACUGCCCGGUAGCUAAAUGCGGAAGAGAUAAGUGCUGAAAGCAUCUAAGCACGAAACUUGCCCCGAGAUGAGUUCUCCCUGACUCCUUGAGAGUCCUGAAGGAACGUUGAAGACGACGACGUUGAUAGGCCGGGUGUGUAAGCGCAGCGAUGCGUUGAGCUAACCGGUACUAAUGAACCGUGAGGCUUAACCUUACAACGCCGAAG
RNAcentral lists this ribosomal RNA (2923 nucleotides) under Escherichia coli. Its description in RNAcentral is "bacterial LSU rRNA". It matches the Rfam family "Bacterial large subunit ribosomal RNA". The record is from RNAcentral. Lineage: Bacteria; Pseudomonadati; Pseudomonadota; Gammaproteobacteria; Enterobacterales; Enterobacteriaceae.